This 500-nucleotide ribosomal RNA is filed under the name uncultured bacterium. RNAcentral describes it as "partial 16S ribosomal RNA". It matches the Rfam family "Bacterial small subunit ribosomal RNA", at positions 30 to 523 of the family's 1533-position model. The record is from RNAcentral.
AUUGAACGCUGGCGGAAUGCUUUACACAUGCAAGUCGAACGGCAGCACGGACUUCGGUCUGGUGGCGAGUGGCGAACGGGUGAGUAAUGCAUCGGAACGUGCCCAGUCGUGGGGGAUAACGUAGUGAAAAUUACGCUAAUACCGCAUACGAUCUAUGGAUGAAAGCGGGGGAUCGCAAGACCUCGCGCGAUUGGAGCGGCCGAUAUCAGAUUAGGUAGUUGGUGGGGUAAAGGCCCACCAAGCCAACGAUCUGUAGCUGGUCUGAGAGGACGACCAGCCACACUGGAACUGCGACACGGUCCAGACUCCUACGGGAGGCAGCAGUGGGGAAUUUUGGACAAUGGGCGAAAGCCUGAUCCAGCCAUUCCGCGUGCAGGAUGAAGGCCCUCGGGUUGUAAACUGCUUUUGUACAGAACGAAAAGGUUUCUACUAAUACUAGGAGCUCAUGACGGUACUGUAAGAACAAGCACCGGCUAACUACGUGCCAGCCGCCGCGGUAA